Long non-coding RNA from Pogonomyrmex barbatus (red harvester ant), 633 nucleotides. NCBI's taxonomy places the organism in Eukaryota, Metazoa, Arthropoda, Insecta, Hymenoptera, Formicidae. The record is from RefSeq and is a predicted model, not a curated record.
CAUGGGUAUUUUGUAUCUGAUCAAUUUUUAUUUCUGGAAUCUAUUCACGGAAUUUCGAAGGAAAAAAUAUCUUUAGAUUACAUUAUAAGAGUUUAGUAAGCUCUAUUGCAUCAGGACAAAAAGGGUAGAUUCGUGGCAGAACCUUCGCAGCAUCACCGUGAUCGCACCGAACGGCGUGCGCGAACCAAUUUUUUUCACCGUAGCCUUCACACAGCAGCAGCAACAGCAGCAGCAGCAGGAGCAACGGUGAUGGUCGCGGUGACGGCAACGGCGGCGUGAAGUGAGCGGCGGGUGUGUAUGAGAGUAGGUAAAUGUGCGGAAUCGCGAUUGGUUACGGCGGCGCCGUUCGACCAAUCAGCGCGCGCGGCCGCGAGCUUCGCGCGCACGGAGCCGGCACCGCGGUCGAGGCCGACUUCGUCAGUGUCGAGGUAACUCGCGAAUCGGAGAAAAAAAACUGACCGAUAGAUUCGUACGAUCGAGCGCGACGCGGCUGUCGGACGGAGGAAAUGCGACACAUGCGGCUAUUUCGUAACGACGAGAGAGUGGACGGAAUACUCGACGAGAGAGAGAGCGCGCGCGCGCGCGCGCCAAAUGAGACAAGGAGGUGAAGUUCGCAAGAUGAUAGCGAUGAAC